RNAcentral lists this ribosomal RNA (424 nucleotides) under uncultured bacterium. RNAcentral describes it as "bacterial SSU rRNA". It matches the Rfam family "Bacterial small subunit ribosomal RNA", at positions 28 to 449 of the family's 1533-position model. The record is from RNAcentral.
GACGAACGCUGGCGGCGUGCUUAACACAUGCAAGUCGAACGGUGACGAGGAGCUUGCUCCUCUGAUCAGUGGCGAACGGGUGAGUAACACGUGAGCAACCUGCCCCAGACUCUGGGAUAACAGUUGGAAACAGCUGCUAAUACCGGAUACGAGGCGGAGAGGCAUCUCUACCGUCUGGAAAGUUUUUUCGGUCUGGGAUGGACUCGCGGCCUAUCAGCUAGUUGGUGAGGUAAUGGCUCACCAAGGCGACGACGGGUAGCCGGCCUGAGAGGGCGACCGGCCACACUGGGACUGAGACACGGCCCAGACUCCUACGGGAGGCAGCAGUGGGGAAUAUUGCACAAUGGGCGAAAGCCUGAUGCAGCGACGCCGCGUGAGGGAUGAAGGCCUUCGGGUUGUAAACCGUCUUUCUAGCAGGGAAGAA